This 293-nucleotide long non-coding RNA is filed under the name Setaria italica (foxtail millet). RNAcentral's name for it is "long non-coding RNA (SITA_LNC003285)". Lineage: Eukaryota; Viridiplantae; Streptophyta; Magnoliopsida; Poales; Poaceae. The record is from RNAcentral.
CCAGACUGGUGUUCAGUUUGUUCUACACUUCUACUUCCACUUGCAGAGCUUGUAGAACGCUACCCUCAUCAUGCUGAACUUCUCUCUGAACUCGGCUGAUGAUAAGUAGGACUGCAUUCGCCUGAUAACAGUAAGUGAAUUAAAAAGGUUGUCUCACGAAUGCGAAGUGGAAGAUUGGUUGCUCACCUCUCGCUUGGUCACGUUGAUGUCGGGGACAGGAACUUCAACUUUGAUUGUCAGGCAUUCAUAUGGGUAGAUCAUGCGCCCCUUCGUCAUCUUCCGUCUCAAUUUCG